This 200-nucleotide non-coding RNA is filed under the name uncultured Tissierella sp. The record is from RNAcentral. Lineage: Bacteria; Bacillati; Bacillota; Tissierellia; Tissierellales; Tissierellaceae.
AGAACUUACAUUCCGAGGUAUCAAAUGAAGGAGUAACGCCCUGAAGGGUCCCAUUAAUCCUCCGAAUAGCGUCGGAUUUGCAAGAAUGAAGAUGUUAUGAGCUCGGUGAAGUCGGCUGAGAGUUGCCCUAAGUAAGAGCAAUCUUACAGGAACAAUGUCCAGAGGUGGAUGUCGCAACCUAUAGGUCGGAUGUCUAUAAA